AAGCGUUUACGACCAGACUUAGGCCCGGUUGAUCAACUAGCGUUCUCGCUGGUGCACUCUGCCGGCCUAGGCCAGCAUCAGUUCGCCCCGGGGGAUAAAGGCGUCGGGAAUGUAGCUCCCUCGGGAGUGUUAUAGCCCUUCGUGCAAUACCCUGAGGUGGACUGAGGUUCGCGCUCUGCAAGGAUGCUGGCGUAAUGGUCGUCAACGA
This 208-nucleotide ribosomal RNA is filed under the name Sirastachys pandanicola. Its description in RNAcentral is "partial large subunit ribosomal RNA". Lineage: Eukaryota; Fungi; Ascomycota; Sordariomycetes; Hypocreales; Stachybotryaceae. The record is from RNAcentral.